Molecule: non-coding RNA, 229 nt
Filed under: Bacillus infantis
Lineage: Bacteria; Bacillati; Bacillota; Bacilli; Caryophanales; Bacillaceae
Description: T-box sequence
Rfam family: T-box leader
About the family: Uncharged tRNA acts as the effector for transcription antitermination of genes in the T-box leader family. T-boxes are found upstream of many aminoacyl-tRNA synthetase genes and some amino acid biosynthetic genes usually in Gram-positive bacteria.
Source: RNAcentral
ACGAAAUCGAUGAUGAGGAAGAGUAGCUGGUGCUGUAAUCUAAAGCGAGUCAGGGGUGGUGUGAGCCUGAUGAGGAUGCAUGAGCGAAGAACACCUCUGAGUUCUAACCGAAAAGGCUCACUGAGUAGGCUUAGACGUGUCCGGGACGUUAUCUGCCGGAAUUGAUAAGCUGGCCGCAUUUUGCGGCAAUGUGGGUGGUACCGCGGAAGCAAAGCCUUUCGUCCCUUUU